RNAcentral lists this ribosomal RNA (292 nucleotides) under uncultured bacterium. RNAcentral describes it as "partial 16S ribosomal RNA". It matches the Rfam family "Bacterial small subunit ribosomal RNA", at positions 505 to 796 of the family's 1533-position model. The record is from RNAcentral.
GUGUCAGCAGCCGCGGUAAUACGUAGGGUGCAAGCGUUAAUCGGAAUUACUGGGCGUAAAGCGUACGCAGGCGGCUUUGCAAGACAGGUGUGAAAUCCCCGGGCCUAACCUGGGAACUGCAUUUGUGACUGCAUGGCUAGAGUCUGUCAGAGGGGGGUGGAAUUCCACGUGUAGCAGUGAAAUGCGUAGAGAUGUGGAAGAACACCGAUGGCGAAGGCAGCCCCCUGGGAUGAGACUGACGCUCAUGUACGAAAGCGUGGGGAGCAAACAGGAUUAGAUACCCCCGUAGUCC